UGAGGAAUCUUGGACAAUGGGGGAAACCCUGAUCCAGCGACGCCGCGUGAGUGAUGAAGCCCCCCGGGGUGUAAAGCUCUUUCAGCGGGGACAAUCAUGAUGGUACCCGCACAAGCAGCUGCGGCUAACUACGUGCCAGCAGCCGCGGUAAUACGUAGGCAGCAAGCGUUGUUCGGAAUUACUGGGCGUAAAGCGAGUGUAGGCGGUCUGCCAAGUCUGUUGUGAAAUCUCCCGGCUCAACCGGGAGGGUGCGUCGGAAACUGGCAGGCUCGAGUGCGAGAGGGGAGAGUGGAAUUCCUGGUGUAGCGGUGGAAUGCGUAGAUAUCAGGAGGAACACCGGUGGUGAAGACGGCUCUCUGGAUCGCCACUGACGCUGAGACUCGAAAGCGUGGGGAGCAAACAGGAUUAGAUACCCCCGUAGUCC
This 424-nucleotide ribosomal RNA is filed under the name uncultured prokaryote. RNAcentral's name for it is "bacterial SSU rRNA". It matches the Rfam family "Bacterial small subunit ribosomal RNA", at positions 355 to 796 of the family's 1533-position model. The record is from RNAcentral.